UGGGGAAUUUUGCACAAUGGGGGAAACCCUGAUGCAGCGACGCCGCGUGAUUUUGAAGGCCUUCGGGUUGUAAAAAUCUUUUCUAUGGGAAGAAAAUGACAGUACCAUAGGAAUAAGGACCGGCUAAUUACGUGCCAGCAGCCGCGGUAAUACGUAAGGUCCGAGCGUUGUCCGGAAUCAUUGGGCGUAAAGGGUACGUAGGCGGGUAAGCAAGUUAGAAGUGAAAUCCUAUAGCUCAACUAUAGUAAGCUUUUAAAACUGCUCAUCUUGAGGUAUGGAAGGGAAAGUGGAAUUCCUAGUGUAGCGGUGAAAUGCGCAGAUAUUAGGAGGAAUACCGGUGGCGAAGGCGACUUUCUGGCCAUAACCUGACGCUGAGGUACGAAAGCGUGGGUAGCAAACAGG
Molecule: ribosomal RNA, 402 nt
Filed under: bacterium
Lineage: Bacteria
Description: partial 16S ribosomal RNA
Rfam family: Bacterial small subunit ribosomal RNA
Source: RNAcentral